RNAcentral lists this transfer RNA (73 nucleotides) under Elusimicrobiota bacterium. RNAcentral's name for it is "Elusimicrobia bacterium (groundwater metagenome) tRNA-Lys". It matches the Rfam family "tRNA". Rfam says of the family: Transfer RNA (tRNA) molecules are approximately 80 nucleotides in length. Lineage: Bacteria; Pseudomonadati; Elusimicrobiota. The record is from RNAcentral.
GGGCUAUUAGCUCAAUUGGUAGAGCAGGCGCCUCUUAAGCGCAAGGUUACAGGUUCGAUUCCUGUAUAGCCCA